AGGAUAAACGCUGGCGGCGUGCCUAAAACAUGCAAGUCGAACGGUUCUCGCUUUCGGGCGGGGAUAGUGGCGGACGGCUGAGUAACACGUGGAUGACCUGCCUUCGAGCGGGGGAUAACGUGACCCGGAAAGGGUGGCUAAUACCGCAGAUGUCGAUGAUUCGGUUCGUUGACUGAACUUGAGGGGCUCGGAGAGGGGUCCGCGGCCGAUUAGCUAGCUGGUGGGUAACGCCUACAGGGCAUCGAUCGGUAGCUGGUCUGAGAGGAUGAUCAGCCAGACUGGGACUGCGAACGGCCCAGACUCCUACGGGAGGCAGCAGUUAGGAAUUUGGGCAAUGGGCGAAAGCCUGACCAGCAACGCGCGUGGGUGAUGAAGGUCCUCGGUCGUAAAGCCUUUCCCGAGGGAAGAUAGUGACGGUACCUGGGAAUAACGCCCCGGCUAACUACGUGCCAGCAGCCGC
RNAcentral lists this ribosomal RNA (460 nucleotides) under uncultured soil bacterium. RNAcentral's name for it is "bacterial SSU rRNA". It matches the Rfam family "Bacterial small subunit ribosomal RNA", at positions 26 to 518 of the family's 1533-position model. The record is from RNAcentral.